UGAGGAAUUUUGCGCAAUGGGCGAAAGCCUGACGCAGCGACGCCGCGUGGGCGAUGAAGCUUCUUGGAGUGUAAAGCCCUGUCAGGUGGGACGAACGGAGCGUGGGCUAAUAUCCCGCGCUAUUGACGGUACCACCAGAGGAAGCCCCGGCUAACUCCGUGCCAGCAGCCGCGGUAAUACGGAGGGGGCGAGCGUUGUUCGGAAUCACUGGGUGUAAAGGGUGCGUAGGCGGUCCGUUAAGUCUGAUGUGAAAUCCCUGGGCUCAACUCAGGAACUGCAUUGGAAACUGGCGGGCUAGAGUACCGGAGAGGGAAGCGGAAUUCCUGGUGUAGCGGUGAAAUGCGUAGAUACCAGGAGGAACACCGGUGGCGAAGGCGGCUUCCUGGCCGAGUACUGACGCUGAGGCACGAAAGCGUGGGGAGCGAACGGGAUUAGAUACCCCGGUAGUCCACGCUGUAAACGAUGGGUGCUAGGUGUUGGAGGUAUCGACCCCUCCAGUGCCGUAG
This 506-nucleotide ribosomal RNA is filed under the name uncultured bacterium. Its description in RNAcentral is "bacterial SSU rRNA". It matches the Rfam family "Bacterial small subunit ribosomal RNA", at positions 355 to 851 of the family's 1533-position model. The record is from RNAcentral.